RNAcentral lists this long non-coding RNA (376 nucleotides) under Homo sapiens (human). RNAcentral's name for it is "HSALNT0358737". The record is from RNAcentral. Lineage: Eukaryota; Metazoa; Chordata; Mammalia; Primates; Hominidae.
CAUCCUCUUUCUUCCUGACCGACCUUCUCCUCUCCAAAGGGGGCUCUGCUGUUCCCAUUUUGCACAAGAGCAGAGUGAGGCCCAGGGUUGAAAGGUCUCCGGAGGCUUCUGGCCACUGAGAGGUGGAGCCAGGCUGGGAGCACACAUCUUCCAGACUCCAACCCCGCCCUGUUUCCGUGAAAUGACUGGACUCUUCUAUGGACCCAGUGGAGCUCAGACAAGGGUCCAGGCCCUGACACUGCCCCAGAGCAGGGGUGCCAGCACCUAUGAGGAUGCCAAGCUCAGGUCAUCGCCCUGCGGUGUCUCAGCCAACUGGGCCUCGAACAGCCCCAUAAACUUGGACAUAAACACAAUUAAAGUUUUUUAUUACAUUAUA